GAUGAACGCUGGCUACAGGCUUAACACAUGCAAGUCGAGGGGAAACGACGGGGAAGCUUGCUUCCUUGGGCGUCGACCGGCGCACGGGUGAGUAACGCGUAUCCAACCUGCCUCUGACUGAGGGAUAACCCGUCGAAAGUCGGCCUAAUACCUCAUGGCAUCGUCUGCGGGCAUCCAACGACGAUUAAAGAUUUCAUCGGUCAGGGAUGGGGAUGCGUCUGAUUAGCUAGUUGGCGGGGCAACGGCCCACCAAGGCGACGAUCAGUAGGGGUUCUGAGAGGAAGGUCCCCCACAUUGGAACUGAGACACGGUCCAAACUCCUACGGGAGGCAGCAGUGAGGAAUAUUGGUCAAUGGGCGAGAGCCUGAACCAGCCAAGUAGCGUGCAGGAUGACGGCCCUAUGGGUUGUAAACUGCUUUUAUGCGGGGAUAAAGUGAGGGACGUGUCCUUCAUUGCAGGUACCGCAUGAAUAAGGACCGGCUAAUUCCGUGCCAGCAGCCGCGGUAAUACGGAAGGUCCGGGCGUUAUCCGGAUUUAUUGGGUUUAAAGGGAGCGUAGGCCGUGGAUUAAGCGUGUUGUGAAAUGCAGGUGCUCAACGUCUGCACUGCAGCGCGAACUGGUCCACUUGAGUGUGCACAACGCAUGCGGAAUUCGUCGUGUAGCGGUGAAAUGCUUAGAUAUGACGAAGAACUCCGAUUGCGAAGGCAGCUUGCGGGAGCACAACUGACGCUGAAGCUCGAAAGUGCGGGUAUCGAACAGG
Molecule: ribosomal RNA, 760 nt
Filed under: uncultured Prevotella sp.
Lineage: Bacteria; Pseudomonadati; Bacteroidota; Bacteroidia; Bacteroidales; Prevotellaceae
Description: bacterial SSU rRNA
Rfam family: Bacterial small subunit ribosomal RNA
Source: RNAcentral